GCGCGCUUGAUAAGCGUGAGGUCGGAAGUUCAAGUCUUCCCAGGCCCACCACUUUCAUCGAGUGAGCAUUCGUCUUCUGGUUACGGGGCCAUAGCUCAGCUGGGAGAGCGCGUGCUUUGCAAGCAUGAGGUCGUCGGUUCGAUCCCGUCUGGCUCCACCAGAUGGUUUGAUCACCGAGGUCAUGCACCGUCGUCCGCGAAACAUCACUUCGCAUCCUGCCAGUCUGGAUAGACGGCAGGUUGCGUGAUUUCUGACAUCGUAAAGAGGAGAUCGAUCCGAGUUGGGUCGUGCAGCAGGUUGUUGCGCGUAUCCUUCAUUAUCUCCGGAUCAUUUUCGGCGCUCGAGGUUGACCGCAAGGUUGGCUCUCGAGUUGUAAAAUGAUCCUUUUAGCGAAGCUUGACCGCCUCGCUAUCGGAACGAUCUUACGAAGCAAGCUGGUCUUUCUAGUCAAUGUCCGGCUGUACGUAGCGUUCAUCGAGGGCGCGCGCCGCAAGGCAAUCGUACAGACAACAUUCUGCCGAGUGUGUGGACAUUGAUAAUGAGAGC
Molecule: transfer RNA, 546 nt
Filed under: Bradyrhizobium sp. AH10
Lineage: Bacteria; Pseudomonadati; Pseudomonadota; Alphaproteobacteria; Hyphomicrobiales; Nitrobacteraceae
Description: partial 16S-23S ribosomal RNA intergenic spacer
Rfam family: tRNA (bases 85-157)
Source: RNAcentral